CUUCUCCCUGUGUGCAAAGGGGAUUAGCUGGGCACUUGCUCAGCUGAACUACCUCUGAAUGCACAUUCAAACUUCCAUCGAGAAUGAGCUCUUUCUCCCCCCUUCUAGAGGACCCUUCAACAAUUGAACCGCUGUAGACAACAGAUGGCAGAUAAUCACUUGAACAGCCUCCAAUUUUGUCAGGAAAGGAAAAGUGAUCAUCCAACUCUCUCUUACAGUAGCAUCAGUACUCUUUCUGGACUUUUUUCUACGGCCUCCGUUUCCUGAGCAGUUUAGGAUGGUUUUCUGUGGCAGCAACUGCAUUUCAGCUUCUUACUGAUUUUCUUCUCAGCAAGCACUUAAGGUCUAGCUUCCUCUUAAAAAACAGACCCUCCUCUCUACCUUUCAAAAAUAGUUUUACAUCACCAAACCUUCUGCCAUAUCCUCAUGGUGAGUAGAUUUCUUUUUCAGUAUUUUACUCUCAUUUUAUUGAUGUUUCAGUAGAAAGUGGAGAUAAAUGCAUAUAUUCAAUCCAGCAUAUAUAAUUGAG
RNAcentral lists this long non-coding RNA (529 nucleotides) under Homo sapiens (human). Its description in RNAcentral is "HSALNT0110143". The record is from RNAcentral. Lineage: Eukaryota; Metazoa; Chordata; Mammalia; Primates; Hominidae.